AUUGAACGCUGGCGGCAGGCCUAACACAUGCAAGUCGAGCGGAUGAAGGGAGCUUGCUCCUGGAUUCAGCGGCGGACGGGUGAGUAAUGCCUAGGAAUCUGCCUGGUCGUGGGGGAUAACGUCCGGACACGGGCGCUAAUACCGCAUACGUCCUGAGGGAGAAAGUGGGGGAUCUUCGGACCUCACGCUAUCUGCUGAGCCUAGGUCGGAUUAGCUGGUUGGUUGGGUAAGGCCUACCAAGGCGACGAUCCGUAACUGGUCUGAGAGGAUGAUCAGUCACACUGGAACUGAGACACGGUCCAGACUCCUACGGGAGGCAGCAGUGGGGAAUAUUGGACAAUGGGCGAAAGCCUGAUCCAGCCAUGCCGCGUGUGUGAAGAAGGUCUUCGGAUUGUAAAGCACUUUAAGUUGGGAGGAAGGGCAGUAAGUUAAUACCUUGCUGUUUUGACGUUACCAACAGAAUAAGCACCGGCUAACUUCGUG
RNAcentral lists this ribosomal RNA (483 nucleotides) under uncultured bacterium. RNAcentral describes it as "partial 16S ribosomal RNA". It matches the Rfam family "Bacterial small subunit ribosomal RNA", at positions 30 to 507 of the family's 1533-position model. The record is from RNAcentral.